AACGGCCGUACCAUGCUGAAUAUACCGGUUCUCGUUAGAUCAGCGAAGUUAAGCAUCAUUGGGCGCGGGACCACCUGGGAACACUGUGUGCCGUU
Non-coding RNA from Caerostris darwini, 95 nucleotides. Lineage: Eukaryota; Metazoa; Arthropoda; Arachnida; Araneae; Araneidae. The record is from the annotation of a GenBank genome assembly.